RNAcentral lists this transfer RNA (94 nucleotides) under Candidatus Pullichristensenella avicola. RNAcentral's name for it is "tRNA-Ser". Lineage: Bacteria; Bacillati; Bacillota; Clostridia. The record is from RNAcentral.
CGCGCGUGGCCGAGCGCGUGGUAAAGCGUUCGUCUUGAAAGCGCACGUUGAGGCCAAACAGCGUCAGGCGGCGGGCAAAAUCCCGCACGCGUUG